CCUACGGGUGGCAGCAGUGAGGAAUAUUGGUCAAUGGCCGGAAGGCUGAACCAGCCAAGCCGCGUGAGGGAGGAAGGCGCAGAGCGUCGCAGACCUCUUUUGCCGGGGGACAAAAGGCCGGACGGGUCCGGUUCUGAGGGUACCCGGAGAAAAAGCAUCGGCUAACUACGUGCCAGCAGCCGCGGUAAUACGUAGGGGGCAAGCGUUAUCCGGAUUUACUGGGGGUAAAGGGAGCGUAGACGGCGAUGCAAGUCUGAAGUGAAAGGCGGGGGCCCAACCCCCGGACUGCUUUGGAAACUGUCUGGCUGGAGUGCAGGAGAGGUAAGUGGAAUUC
RNAcentral lists this ribosomal RNA (334 nucleotides) under uncultured bacterium. RNAcentral's name for it is "partial 16S ribosomal RNA". It matches the Rfam family "Bacterial small subunit ribosomal RNA", at positions 338 to 669 of the family's 1533-position model. The record is from RNAcentral.